CAAAGAAAUAUAUCGCACUAGUAGUACAAUACUGUCGUAACUCAAAAUUGGUCGAAUUUGACUUAUCAUUAUAAUCAAACGUAAAAUUAAAUUCCCCACAAGUCAUUAAAACCGUCGUUAGGAUCAUGCAAGAAAUGAAUAAUAGAUGGCGCUAUAAGACAUUAUUCGUGACUGACCAGUCGUCAGACUCGCCUCGUUCGAUAUUGCGUCAUCUUUAGUCGCGACAAACGGUGAUCGGGGAAGCACGUGUCGCUGGGCGCAAUAUUUCGAGUUGCAGCGUUAUUACUGGAUCAGAUUCAGUAUGCAUCGUGGGCGACUACUUGUUACUAUGGCAACCAACACUACGCGUCAACUUCCGGAAAAAGAAAAUGAGGAACCUGUUCCGAAUUCAUCACCGUCAAUUUUUGUGCAAUUACGUCUAUAAAAGACUACUUAAGUAUAAGAGUAAAUUAUAAGUUUCUAUUGUUUUUGUUUUCUAUGUUUGGAAGAUUUAUUUUGUUAAAACAAAGUGUUUCAAAAUAAAUAGUAUAUCUUGUUAUGUAUGUAGGUAACUAUUAAGAAUUACUGUUUUGGUUUUGAAAGGUUUAUUUUCGAAAUGUUUUAACUACUUUAAGCAUGGGUACACAAAGUACAAGUACAAAUAUUGCAAUUUUUAUCUAUUUUUUGUCAAUUACAGCCCUUAUAAGAAUAA
Molecule: long non-coding RNA, 691 nt
Organism: Spodoptera frugiperda (fall armyworm)
Lineage: Eukaryota; Metazoa; Arthropoda; Insecta; Lepidoptera; Noctuidae
Exons: 2
Source: RefSeq, a predicted model, not a curated record